UACGUAGGCAGCAAGCGUUGUUCGGAGUUACUGGGCGUAAAGGGUGUGUAGGCGGUUGUUUAAGUUUGGUGUGAAAUCUCCCGGCUCAACUGGGAGGGUGCGCCGAAUACUGAAUGACUAGAGUGCGGGAGAGGAAAGUGGAAUUCCUGGUGUAGCGGUGAAAUGCGUAGAUAUCAGGAGGAACACCGGUGGUGUAGACGGCUUUCUGGACCGUAACUGACGCUGAGGUGCGAAAGCGUGGGGAGCAAACAGG
RNAcentral lists this ribosomal RNA (253 nucleotides) under uncultured bacterium. RNAcentral describes it as "partial 16S ribosomal RNA". It matches the Rfam family "Bacterial small subunit ribosomal RNA", at positions 524 to 776 of the family's 1533-position model. The record is from RNAcentral.